GCCCCCAUGGUGUAGUGGUUUAUCACGCAGCUCUUAUAUGUCCAAGACUUCAUGGAGGUAUGCUGAGGUCGCGAGUUCAAUCCUCGCUGGGGGCA
Fusarium oxysporum f. sp. cubense is the source of this 95-nucleotide non-coding RNA. Lineage: Eukaryota; Fungi; Ascomycota; Sordariomycetes; Hypocreales; Nectriaceae. The record is from Rfam.